Melospiza melodia melodia is the source of this 576-nucleotide long non-coding RNA. RefSeq lists it as uncharacterized. Lineage: Eukaryota; Metazoa; Chordata; Aves; Passeriformes; Passerellidae. The record is from RefSeq and is a predicted model, not a curated record. The transcript is spliced from 5 exons.
CCCAAAAUGGCGGCGUCGCCCUGAGGCCGCGCUCGGCUCCUCGCGGGGGACGGACAUAAAGUAUGUGUGUGCCCGCCGAGGGAAGUAACAACAACGAUUACUAAGGAGGUUACAACGGAGACUGAAACAGUCCAGCAAGUGGCAAACGUGCCCCAAAGUGACACAAGAUGGCGCCCAGAACCACAGGCAGAGCCAACCUGAGCAACGCCCUGACUCCCAGGUGGUGAGUUCCCAGUUGAUCUAAAAGUGAAUAAAGCUCCUGUGUGGCUGACAGACCUUCCACUCAAGCAUGGCUAUAUUGCAUUUACUUAUGUUGAGGUUAGAGUACUCUGCUGGAGUUAUAAAACCGCAUUUGUUGUGGCACUGUGAGUCAGCAGAACUCGCUGAGCAGUUCCCACUGCACAGGGCUCCAGGGCUGGUUUCACAGAAAGCGUCAUCACAGAAGCAUCAUCUGCACCUCAGCUCAGGAUUGCAGAUACUUGCAAAUUCUGGAAGAAGGCUCUGCAGUGAAGACUCAUGUUUACUUGGAACAUUUUUUCUGUGAAAGAUGUACUUUCAGGAGCACCCAUAGGAGGU